GCUAAAGUAGCUCAGUUGGUAGAGCAGUAGAUUCGUAAUCUGCAGGUCGAGGGUUCGACUCCCUUCUUUAGCUCCA
Molecule: transfer RNA, 76 nt
Filed under: Candidatus Cloacimonadota bacterium
Lineage: Bacteria; Pseudomonadati; Candidatus Cloacimonadota
Description: tRNA-Thr
Rfam family: tRNA
About the family: Transfer RNA (tRNA) molecules are approximately 80 nucleotides in length. Their secondary structure includes four short double-helical elements and three loops (D, anti-codon, and T loops).
Source: RNAcentral